UUGUGUGUGCACCGCACUGACAGUGACGCUGUGUGUGGGGCUUGACGCGCAUGAUCUCAUUUAUUCUGAAAAGCACAUGAUCUCAUUUACUCAGAACUUGAACUCAGAUCUCUCUGGUUCCCUUCUAGCCAGAAAACCAUCUGGAAAGGCACUUUCUCUUAUUAACCCACUGAAUCCAUAUAAGGCAGACACUCUUUUAUCCCAUUCUACUGAAGAGGAGACCGAGGCACAGAGCAUUCCUCAACUGAGAAAUUCUCUAACAAGAAAUCAUCAAGGUUUGCGGACAGAACUGAAAUCAGACACACCUCCUGAUACUUGGCCAGGUGAGUGAAAAUAAAGAUGUCACAGGCUUCCAGGCAAGAGUCUCUGCUCCUCAGAAGAAGGGUGACCAGGAAGAAAGGGAACGUGGGCUCCUCGGCUCUGAUGUUGCCUCUUGAUGUUCAUA
Long non-coding RNA from Talpa occidentalis (Iberian mole), 445 nucleotides. RefSeq lists it as uncharacterized. The record is from RefSeq and is a predicted model, not a curated record. NCBI's taxonomy places the organism in Eukaryota, Metazoa, Chordata, Mammalia, Eulipotyphla, Talpidae. The transcript has 4 exons.